AAGAUAAUAAACUUAUGUAAAAACACGGAUCUGGAUCUCAGAUGAAAGGUUUUAAUGAAUCAGUAACACUCUCAUAGAAUUCAUUCAAAUGUCAUAUGCUUUCAUAAGUUGGUCCAGUUGUUGUGAAUUGGGAAGAAUGCUUUAUGGUGGGUGGUGACAUGUUUAAAUGUAUUUUUUAGCCUAGCACUAGAUACAGUACAUCAUGAUUAUGGAUUCAGAGCACAUAAAUAAAUCAACUUCCGUCUUCUGAUCAAACAGCUUUAGUUUUGCUCUUAACUUAUUGAUGGACAUCAUUAUUUGAUCCGAAGGAAGAUGAGUAUAGAGUAGAUCGGCACUCUUACUUGGAAAUAUCUGAGAAGUGUUGAGACCGCUUCACCCCUUAUCCCUCUAGUGUGAGUGGGUUUUAUCCCUUCAUGACCUCAUUUCAUAAUUUGCAUCCCAACCCAUUUUGUUUUGUUUACCCAUAACCCUGUGGACUAUGUGGCGUCCAUGCUGUAGAGGGAGAAGGGGAAGGAAGCAGAGCCGCAGGCCGCAAAUGCUUCCUCUAAUGGGGAUGCUGUUCACUCUAAUGAUGGUGACAUGACCUUUGACCUUCCCUCCUCUGAAGGGAACAGUCUGGUUAAGUCAGAGGGCCUCAAUUGAGAGCCACAAGCUAAAUUUCCGAGAGCAAGCCAAAGCGCGCACCGACCACGGCGCUGAGAUCGUGUGCCGGUCCCCCGACAUUUCCACGGAUGGAUCGCCCCGCCGUCUCAGCAACGUGUCUUCCUCCGGCAGCAUCAACAUGACCGACUCCCCACAACUGUCCACGCUAGCUGACCAGGUGUCAGCCUCCCUCGCUAAACAAGGCCUGUGAGCCCCCGGCCCAAACGUGUCGGCAAUUGACAAAAUGAAAAAAAAGUUACAAAUGUAUCUCCUUCAGUCCUUUCAAAUAAGGUGCUUGUCGGAUUUCUCCUAACUAAAGGUUGUCCCAUGCAGCGGCUUGUCUGCUUGUGAAAUAAUUUUACGCCUCCUGGCACAGAGAGACAGGUAUUGAUGUUAUUGGCUUAGUAUCAUGAAAAACAACAAAGAAAAAAAUUCAGUUUAAAAGGAGCUGGUGGUGUAUUGAUCCCCAAAUGGUCAUUUACAGCACUGAGUAGCCUGGUUUUGUUCGUUUUAAAACCCGUUUUUUAAAAGAACAACAAUGACAUUUGCUUUCAAAGCUGUAUUUUCUUCGUUGCCUUAUUGUGAAUGUUUUUAUUUACCAUAACUUAUGCACUCCUGUUUUGACGUGCAGCAGUAGGGAAGGCAAACAUGCUACAUGGUUUGGAAGGGUGGAGUUUAUGAUACUGGCUAUGAAUUCGAUUGGACAGAAACAUUUCAAACACUCUCUAUAGUGGAAUAGUGGAGGCAUAUUAAAAUAAAAUAGUGGCCUGCUAUAUAAUUAUUUAAAUCAAAGACAUCAGCGGGCUCCAUAGUGCAUGUUUGAUUCUUAAUGAAAGCUGUUAAACUAUCUAAACACCUCAGUUGUGUCUUUGAUCCAAAAUGAAACAGUUAAGACUUAAUGAUAAAUCAUUAUUCAGAUGAGUCUGGGAUGAUGUAAUUCUAAUAUCAUAAAUUAGAUAUUUCUGUACCAGAAUUUUGUCUGUGAAUUCUUUAAAACUGCACAUCCUCAUUCAUCUCCACAGCAGAUUCUCAAGGCUUAUCUGUCCUCGGUUGCACUGGAAGAAUGAAAUCUUCUUGCUUGGCCUCUAGUGACUCUUUUGACAAAGAAAGCAAAUGUCAAUAUACAAAAAUCAUACAAAACUUUUAAAUAAAGCUGUGUUACGGGGCUCAACAUUAAGGAUUUUUGUUCAGUCGUUCAGUUAUUCACAUUUUAAGCAACAUAUUUUGUGUCUAAAAAUACACAUUUUACUUUUGAGAUUAUCUUUAAAAAACGAUUUAAUGCAAGUAAAUUAGAAAUGCAGUGCCAUGGAAGCUAUGACAUUUGAUGUGUAGCUUUCGUUUGAAAAUAUUUGUAAAACUGUGAUUUUUAUUUUUAGCUAAAUUUAGUCUAAAAAUUAGAGACCAUUUCAGUGCAUCCAAUACAUCACUCGAAGUUUCAGUCUAUAAAACAAGAAUGAUUGUAUUGAUAAAAAAUUAUGAGACCACAUAAAAGAUGUAGUGUCGGCCUUAAACCGGCCCCGGAUCACAUUGUCAUCCUUAUUGUUGAGCUCUGAAGUAGUUUGCCCUGCACAAGCCCCAUCAAACUGAUAUCACUCGGUACUUUCUCUCAUCGUUUCCUUUAACUCAUCUCUGUACGGUUUUAAUGCUUCUGUAUUGAUGGAUUUCAGCUUCUGUAUAUAAAAUGCUGUUUCAAAGAAUGUUUGUAUGGACCAAUGCAAAAGACUUGAGAGGAUUUCAAAGCACUCAUAAAAUAACUAACAUCAUAUCAGAAAUCUCAUAUUGGGAACAGACAGCUGAAAAGUGGCACCCGGUGUCCUUCAGCUGCAUUUGAGAAAACAACGGUCUGCGUUUUUAAGAUUGUCUGUGGUCUAAGAUGGAUUGAGUCAUGUACAGCAGCACAGUGUUGAUUCAUUUGUUGCAGGACGUUUAACACAUCAGCCAAGCUCCCCUCAGUACUAAAGCCUUCAAUCCAAAGCACAACACUCUCACGCUGCACAUUCCCAGCAUGCAAUGGACUUCACCCAUGGUCUUCUUGAAUAUAGUAACCAGUCACCACAUCCCCGUCCAACUGUUUAGAAAACCACCUUUACUAGAGCGUUUUAGUCACCUUAAAACAUGCAAAGAAAGAGGGAAAAAGUGGAAGAUUAAAGGAAUUGAGCUACCUGCUAAAAUACAGGUUUAUGUUGCACACUUCUUUUUCUAAUAGUAUUGUGUAGACGAUGUAAAAGAUGUACGAAUGUGUUCAGAGGAUCUGACACUAAGCCUUUUAUUUAAUAUCCGCAUUGCAUUUGCAGCUUUAUGCUCAUUUGAAAGUGAAUGCACUGAGCUGCCUUUACACAAACUACAUUACUCAUUUAGAUGUACAUUUAGAAAGGGGUAUAAUAAGUAAAAUAGGGGGAAAUCUGCAUCUAGCAUCCACAAUACGAGUAAAGGACUUGCCUAGUGCCACAUGCAUCUCUCUCACGUGACUCUGAGAAGCUUUAGACGGAUUGCUGUAAACCCUGUAGCCGUCCUUUGAACAGCAUGCUCCGAACAUAAACCUGAGCAUUUAGACAGACGUGUGGGUUAAGCUGAAGAGCAGAAUUAUCAGAUAAAAUGUUUAAAAACUGCACUGGAUAUGGCCAUUAGCUACGUUUCAGUCGGUUCUGUCAUGUGUUGACCGCUCGCGAAGUCUCUCUCCUCAGUUUAAUUUCCCGCCUCUGCUCCUCCCUUCUCAUUGCAGUUCUUCAUUCUAGCUUGACCGUUGUGAUUGUCUUUAUCGUAAUGUGUUUUAUUAAUUGGUUUACAUUGAUACUCCUUGCUGUAAACGUGAAUUUGGAAAUAAAGUCCGUAUUAAACUGC
Carassius gibelio (silver crucian carp) is the source of this 3483-nucleotide long non-coding RNA. RefSeq lists it as uncharacterized. Lineage: Eukaryota; Metazoa; Chordata; Actinopteri; Cypriniformes; Cyprinidae. The transcript has 2 exons. The record is from RefSeq and is a predicted model, not a curated record.